GAUGGAAAAGCUUUUAAAAUGAUAGAGUCAGGACCUUUGAGUCCUGGCUGGUCAGCACAGGCAUGUGAAUUAUAUGCUGUAUUAAAGGCUUUACAGUUGUUGAAAGGAAAGGUAGGAACUAUAUAUACAGAUUCUAGAUAUGCUUUGGAGUGGUGCAUAUUUUUGGAAAAAUCUGGGAGGAAAGAGGUUUAAUUAAUUCCCAGGGAAAAAGUCUGGUGCAUCAGGAAUUGAUAUUACAAAUAUUACAAGCUGUACGGGGGCCAGCCGAAAUAGCAGUAGUACACCUAAAAGGACACCAGAGAGGGCUAAGCCCCCUCAUAAGAGGAAAUAACCUUGCUGAUCAAGAGGCAAAAAGAGCAGCUUUGUUAACAUUGCAUUUAGAUG
Athene cunicularia (burrowing owl) is the source of this 384-nucleotide long non-coding RNA. RefSeq lists it as uncharacterized. The transcript has 3 exons. The record is from RefSeq and is a predicted model, not a curated record. NCBI's taxonomy places the organism in Eukaryota, Metazoa, Chordata, Aves, Strigiformes, Strigidae.